CCUACGGGAGGCAGCAGUGGGGGAUAUUGCACAAUGGGGGAAACCCUGAUGCAGCGACGCCGCGUGGGUGAAGAAGCGCCUCGGCGCGUAAAGCCCUGUCAGCAGGGAAGAAAAUGACGGUACCUGAAGAAGAAGCCCCGGCUAACUACGUGCCAGCAGCCGCGGUAAUACGUAGGGGGCAAGCGUUAUCCGGAUUUACUGGGUGUAAAGGGGGCGCAGGCGGCGAUGCAAGCCAGGAGUGAAAGCCCGGGGCCCAACCCCGGGACUGCUCUUGAAACUGCGUGGCUAGAGUGCAGGAGGGGCAGGCGGAAUGCCUGGUGUAGCGGUGAAAUGCGUAGAUAUCAGGAGGAACACCGGUGGCGAAGGCGGCCUGCUGGACUGCAACUGACGUUGAGGCCCGAAAGCGUGGGGAGCAAACAGGAUUAGAUACCCGAGUAGUC
This 440-nucleotide ribosomal RNA is filed under the name uncultured bacterium. RNAcentral describes it as "partial 16S ribosomal RNA". It matches the Rfam family "Bacterial small subunit ribosomal RNA", at positions 338 to 795 of the family's 1533-position model. The record is from RNAcentral.